GUCGCUGGCGCCUUUUUCCUUUGUGUCCUCUGGUCAGUCAGUACUUUGAGGGAAAAGAAUUUUGCUGUUCGCGUUCGGUUGACUCCGUCCGCAAGAUCCUGCAGCUCCACAGACCUGGCGACUCCACCGCGUUCGGGCAUUUAUUGUCAUUAACUGCCCUCUUAAAUCCUUUGCUUGUUCAGGUAUGUGUUAGUUCAUUUCCACUUAUUUAUG
Cebus imitator (Panamanian white-faced capuchin) is the source of this 213-nucleotide long non-coding RNA. RefSeq lists it as uncharacterized. The transcript has 3 exons. NCBI's taxonomy places the organism in Eukaryota, Metazoa, Chordata, Mammalia, Primates, Cebidae. The record is from RefSeq and is a predicted model, not a curated record.